Molecule: ribosomal RNA, 512 nt
Filed under: uncultured bacterium
Lineage: Bacteria
Description: partial 16S ribosomal RNA
Rfam family: Bacterial small subunit ribosomal RNA
Source: RNAcentral
GACGAACGCUGGCGGCGUGCCUAAUACAUGCAAGUCGAGCGAGCGGAACUAACAGAUUUACUUCGGUAAUGACGUUAGGAAAGCGAGCGGCGGAUGGGUGAGUAACACGUGGGGAACCUGCCCCAUAGUCUGGGAUACCACUUGGAAACAGGUGCUAAUACCGGAUAAGAAAGCAGAUCGCAUGAUCAGCUUUUAAAAGGCGGCGUAAGCUGUCGCUAUGGGAUGGCCCCGCGGUGCAUUAGCUAGUUGGUAAGGUAAAGGCUUACCAAGGCGAUGAUGCAUAGCCGAGUUGAGAGACUGAUCGGCCACAUUGGGACUGAGACACGGCCCAAACUCCUACGGGAGGCAGCAGUAGGGAAUCUUCCACAAUGGACGCAAGUCUGUUGGAGCAACGCCGCGUGAGUGAAGAAGGUUUUCGGAUCGUAAAGCUCUGUUGUUGGUGAAGAAGGAUAGAGGUAGUAACUGGACUUUAUUUGACGGUAAUCAACCAGAAAGUCACGGCUAACUACGUG